Sorghum bicolor (sorghum) is the source of this 512-nucleotide long non-coding RNA. RefSeq lists it as uncharacterized. Lineage: Eukaryota; Viridiplantae; Streptophyta; Magnoliopsida; Poales; Poaceae. The record is from RefSeq and is a predicted model, not a curated record. The transcript has 2 exons.
CCAUGUCAUAAACAAGAUGACUACGAAACAUGUUACUACUCUCUGCUGUCUUCUUCUAGUGCUCGUGCUGCAUUCAGAUCAAACAUCUGCUGCUGAGAGCUGCAGCUAUUCGGUUCGUUCGGUUCCAUUCUGUAAGAGUUGGAUGUGCAAGACUGAAUGCUGGUUAGAGUCGCAGCUAAUAACAUCGAAUACGAUCAAGGAACACAACUGCAUCAAAGGAGGGCUCAAUGGGUUGUGUCGCUGCCUCUUUUGUGAAAAGUAGUAGUCUCAUCUUUAUUAAUCUCUAUUAUUAGAGCAGAGUGAUGAAACGGUAUCAUCAUUGCUGUCCAAGAAGAACAAAUCAGAGGAGAAUAUAAUAGACCUGGUUGAGAUGGUAGUAGUUUAUUAGCCGACUCUCUAUAUAUAGUUGUCUGUUUUUUUUUCUCUUGGUAAUCUGCUUCAGUAUUCCAUUUAUUUUCGUAAAAGAAAACUUUGAUUGAAUAAUAUAAUGGCCUUCAGAAAUGGUUUAAUGA